AAAUUAUAUAUAGUAUAACAUAAUAUAAGUUGAUAGAUAAUUAUAAUGACAGAAAUAUCUAAAUUUUAUAGUAUUAUGUAAAGAAAUAUAUUUAAAAUAACUAUAGAAAAGAAGUACCGUGAGGGAAAUAUUUAAUUUAAAAUAAAGUAAGAAUUAAUAUCUGUACCUUUUGCAUCAUGAUUGUUUGAGAGUAUAUUAUAAAGUAUAAUAUCCCGAAAUUAUUUGAGCUAUUAUAUAACUUAGUUCAAUGUUGCAAAAUUGUCUUUAGAUUAUAUAAUAGAAGUGAAACGUAAAUCGGAAAUAAUGAUAGCUGGUUGACCUAGAAAUAUAUGUAAGUAUAGCUUUAAUUAUAGAUUAUUUUAAUGUUUAAUUAAAAUAAUUGAUUGAUUUAAGUUCUAUAAAAGAGUAUAAGCUCUUUUAUAAAUUAAUAAUAUUUUGAAUUAGAUUGAAGUUUAAGUGGGCUUAGAAUUUGCCAUCUUAGUGAGUUUGUUAUUAAAAAGAAAUUUAAUAAAACAAAUUUUUAUUUUAUAUUUUAAUAAAUAUAGGUUUGUUUAACUUUAAAUUUAUAAGUUAAGUAAUUAUAAAUAAAUGAGUAUAUUAGUAAUUUAAAAAUAAAUAAAAUUAUCGAAGUUAAGUAAUAUUUUAUAUUUAAGUAUUGUGAUUUUUGAAGUUAAUUUAAGGAAUUCGGCAAAUAUAAAUCCCGCCUGUUUAUCAAAAACAUCGCUUUUUGUUGUAUUGAAUAUAAAAAGUAGAGCCUGCCCAGUGAAGUGAAAUUUAAACGGCCGCAGUACCCUGACUGUGCGAAGGUAGCAUAAUCAUUUGCUCUUUAAUUAGGAGCUGGAAUGAAUGGUUUGACGAGGGUUUAACUGUCUUAAAUUAAUUUAUUAAAAAUUGACUUUUAGGUGAAAAGGCCUAAAUUAAGCUAGAGGACAAGAAGACCCUAUUGAGCUUUAAUUACUUUUCAAGUUAUUAACAUAUAAAUAUAGUUUAGUUUGGAAAAUGAUUUGGAUUGGGGCGAUCAAGGAAAAUAAUAAACUUCCUUUUAUUUUACUAGAAAUAUAGUUUAGUGAUCCAAAAUUUUUGAUUAUAAGAAUAAGUUACCAUAGGGAUAACAGCGUAAUCCUUUUUGAGAGUUCUUAUCGAAAAAAGGGGUUGCGACCUCGAUGUUGGACUAAGAUGUCCUGAAGGUGUAGCAGCUUUUAAGGGUUGGUCUGUUCGACCAUUAAAAUCUUACAUGAUCUGAGUUCAGACCGGCGUGAGCCAGGUUGGUUUCUAUCCUUAGUUUUUAAUAGUGUUUUUACUAGUACGAAAGGACCGUUUAAAACUGAUUUUUAUAGAGAUCAAGUAAUAUGAUUAUAUAUAAUUUAAUAAUAAAUAAUGAGGUUAUUA
RNAcentral lists this ribosomal RNA (1389 nucleotides) under Solemya velesiana. RNAcentral describes it as "large subunit ribosomal RNA". The stretch from base 899 to 1286 matches the Rfam family "Bacterial large subunit ribosomal RNA", at positions 2049 to 2651 of the family's 2925-position model. Lineage: Eukaryota; Metazoa; Mollusca; Bivalvia; Solemyida; Solemyidae. The record is from RNAcentral.